Molecule: ribosomal RNA, 292 nt
Filed under: uncultured Planctomycetota bacterium
Lineage: Bacteria; Pseudomonadati; Planctomycetota
Description: uncultured planctomycete partial 16S ribosomal RNA
Source: RNAcentral
GGACUACAGGGGUUUCUAAUCCCGUUCGCUCCCCUGGCUUUCGCGCCUCAGCGUCAGAAGAGGUCCAGCGCGCCGCUUUCGCCACCGGUGUUCCUUCCGAUAUCUACGCAUUUCACCGCUCCACCGGAAGUUCCGCACGCCCCUACCUCCCUCGAGGCCCGCAGUAUCAAAGGCACUUCCACGGUUGAGCCGUGGGAUUUCACCCCUGACUGGCGGGCCCGCCUACGCGCCCUUUAAGCCCAGUGAUUCCGAACAACGUUUGCACGGUUCGUCUUACCGCGGCUGCUGGCAC